UAUACAAUCACAGUUUGAUUGUUUUCACAUUGGCUUGUUUUCAAUAUAUUUGUGCCUUUUCGGCAGUUUAUUAUUGCCGUACAUGUCUAUUCUGUGAUGUCCUCUGUUCCAAUUCCUCCUUGCUUCCCCCGGACACCUGCCAAAGCCAGUCAACCAUCCGCCGUGACCACAAUUGCCACAAUCGUCACAAUGCUCCGGCUUGCUCCAUUCUCCCGUUCUCUGUCGCCUCUCCCUUCCAUUCUCCCUAUCCUCUGCCUUCCUUCUCGCUCAGACUGCUGCGCGCCUCUUCUUCGCAAGGUUGCUCCGUGCCUUGCCCAAUAACCUCGCAAACUCCCAGCUCUCCAAUAGUCGUUUCUAGAUGCCAUCGGGCUGCGAUUCGCUGAUUGCCAGCCGUGGGGUCAUAAUCUGCCCUCGCAUUGCCGGUUGGACUCUCUAGCAGGGUCUAUCUCAAAGAGGCUACGGCAUCUUCUAUAAGGAAAAGCUGCUUUCUAAUUGGUGACGAUUCUCUUGAUCUCAAUUUCCAUCUAUCAGGUGGCCUCUAAUUUCACUCUAAUGAACUAUUAUUGACUUGUAAAAAUAGGAAUCGGUGUAGCAACGCCCUUCCAUCCAGAAACUUGAGGUUCUGUGUUCGAUGCUACUGUGGUUUUCUAUGCCUCUUGUACUCUGACUCCUAUUUUUGGUUCUUCCUUUGACCAAAGAAAGAAUUAUAUAUUCAUUUUUCAAUAAGGAGUGAUGCAUUGCCUACUCUUUCCAUGUGGCAUAGAGGCAAAAACAAGGUAAGCAUAGAAAGAUAGAUACAUACAUUCAUGCCCAUACAUAUGCCUCCCCUGUACUUCAAAACCAGCAAGGUAAGAAGUGAUGGGGCUGGGAUGAUUAUGCUACUGUCCAUAUCUUGGCAUAGUGAUUCUUGGGUUCGUGUCGCCAAGUAUAAAAAUGACGACACCAUACAUUUAUCCUAUUCAUUGACAUAUGAAGGCUGGUAAUGGAAGUUUAAGAUCAACUCAGAUAUAGAAAGACAAACCCCAAAAACUGCACAAGGAAGUUUAGGUCUUUUAAACCUUUCCUAAAGACUCAUCCUAUUCCAACCAAAAGGACAGUCAAGAAAAGCUUUCUUUUAAGAAAAUAUCGAACAUUGUGUUGUACUUUGGUUUCAGGUUCCGAUAAAUCCUCUAUUGAUGUGAUAAAAGGAAGUUCUUUGACAAUUUCGUGUAUUUUAGUUUGCGUACCAUAAGCUGGAUUUUAGAAUUGGGGUUGACAGGUCAUAAUUGUAUAUACUUCAUCCUAUGUUUUUCAAGGUUUAACUGGUGUUUUUUGUUGUUGACGAACAAAGUUUAUUUGGAAUUUCUUCAACUGUUAAUAUUUAUUUUCUUUGACAUUAUAUGCUUCGGUAGCCAUGGAGCAAAAGUCUAAUUUGGUGGAUCACCUCUUGGGGAUCAAGGCCUACCCGAGGAUCAAACAAUGCUAAUGAUAUACAACGGUAAGUUAGGUGAGUUGUUACUAUUAUAUUGCACAUUCUCUAAGUCCAUUUGUCUUAUAGUUUUAGACUUUUAGUAAGGUGUGGAUUCUAGCAGCGAAUUGUGCAUUGAAUCUUUGUUGCUGUACAGGAUUCUCAUCUCCUGGUUGAGUUGUAACCUCUUUAGCUGAACGUACAAUCUCAGUUUUGGUUUGCUUCUGGUUUUCAAAUCAAAUCUCUUGCAACCCUUUUUCAUAUUUCUAACAUAUUAAAGUAUGAACUCAUAUGCAAAAGGACUUCCUUUUCCUUUAGUGGAAAGCAAGACUAAGCUUGAUGCUUGGAAUAUGUUGGAUGUGAUUAACAGUUACAACUAUGCUUUAUACUCUGGUUAAUGCUUGAGGCUUGGAAUAUUUUUUCUUUAUUGUGCCUCCAUGGUGCUUUUGUAACUA
Non-coding RNA from Punica granatum (pomegranate), 1902 nucleotides. Lineage: Eukaryota; Viridiplantae; Streptophyta; Magnoliopsida; Myrtales; Lythraceae. The record is from RefSeq and is a predicted model, not a curated record.